AGUGAACGCUGGCGGUAGGCCUAACACAUGCAAGUCGAACGGCAGCACAGUAAGUGGUUGCUCUUACGGGUUGCGAGUGGCGUACGGGUGACGACUACAUCGGAAUCUACUUUUUCGUUGGGGAUGCCGUAGCGGAACUUAUGCUGAUACCGCUUACGAGAUGCAAGUGAAAGAAGGGGAUCUUCCGCCCUUGCGCGAUUGACUGAGCCUGUGUCGGAUUAGCUAGUUGGCGGGGUAAAGGCCCACCACGGCGACGAUCCGUAGCUGGUCUGAGAGGAUGAUCAGCCACACUGGAACUGAGACACGGUCCAGACUCCUACGGGAGGCAGCAGUGGGGAAUAUUGGACAAUGGGCGAAAGCCUGAUCCAGCCAUACCGCGUGGGUGAAGAAGGCCUUCGGGUUGUAAAGCCCUUUUGUUGGGAAAGAAAAGCAGCAGGUUAAUACCGCGCUGUUCUGACGGUACCCAAAGAAUAAGCACCGGCUAACUUCAUG
RNAcentral lists this ribosomal RNA (492 nucleotides) under uncultured bacterium. RNAcentral describes it as "partial 16S ribosomal RNA". It matches the Rfam family "Bacterial small subunit ribosomal RNA", at positions 29 to 507 of the family's 1533-position model. The record is from RNAcentral.